This 857-nucleotide ribosomal RNA is filed under the name uncultured bacterium. Its description in RNAcentral is "bacterial SSU rRNA". It matches the Rfam family "Bacterial small subunit ribosomal RNA", at positions 8 to 837 of the family's 1533-position model. The record is from RNAcentral.
AGAGUUUGAUCUUGGCUCAGGACGAACGCUGGCGGCGUGCCUCAUACAUGCAAGUCGAACGCUUUUUCUUUCACCGGAGCUUGCUCCACCGAAAGAAAAAGAGUGGCGAACGGGUGAGUAACACGUGGGUAACCUACCCAUCAGAAGGGGAUAACACUUGGAAACAGGUGCUAAUACCGUAUAACACUAUUUUCCGCAUGGAAGAAAGUUGAAAGGCGCUUUUGCGUCACUGAUGGAUGGACCCGCGGUGCAUUAGCUAGUUGGUGAGGUAACGGCUCACCAAGGCCACGAUGCAUAGCCGACCUGAGAGGGUGAUCGGCCACACUGGGACUGAGACACGGCCCAGACUCCUACGGGAGGCAGCAGUAGGGAAUCUUCGGCAAUGGACGAAAGUCUGACCGAGCAACGCCGCGUGAGUGAAGAAGGUUUUCGGAUCGUAAAACUCUGUUGUUAGAGAAGAACAAGGAUGAGAGUAGCACGUUCAUCCCUUGACGGUAUCUAACCAGAAAGCCACGGCUAACUACGUGCCAGCAGCCGCGGUAAUACGUAGGUGGCAAGCGUUGUCCGGAUUUAUUGGGCGUAAAGCGAGCGCAGGCGGUUUCUUAAGUCUGAUGUGAAAGCCCCCGGCUCAACCGGGGAGGGUCAUUGGAAACUGGGAGACUUGAGUGCAGAGGAGGAGAGUGGAAUUCCAUGUGUAGCGGUGAAAUGCGUAGAUAUAUGGAGGAACACCAGUGGCGAAGGCGGCUCUCUGGUCUGUAACUGACGCUGAGGCUCGAAAGCGUGGGGAGCGAACAGGAUUAGAUACCCUGGUAGUCCACGCCGUAAACGAUGAGUGCUAAGUGUUGGAGGGUUUCCGC